UACGAAGGGGGCUAGCGUUGCUCGGAAUCACUGGGCGUAAAGGGCGCGUAGGCGGCUAGAUAAGUCGGGGGUGAAAGCCUGUGGCUCAACCACAGAAUUGCCUUCGAUACUGUCUGGCUUGAGACCGGAAGAGGUUAGUGGAACUGCGAGUGUAGAGGUGAAAUUCGUAGAUAUUCGCAAGAACACCAGUGGCGAAGGCGGCUCACUGGCCCGGUACUGACGCUGAGGUGCGAAAGCGUGGGGAGCAAACAGG
RNAcentral lists this ribosomal RNA (253 nucleotides) under uncultured bacterium. Its description in RNAcentral is "partial 16S ribosomal RNA". It matches the Rfam family "Bacterial small subunit ribosomal RNA", at positions 524 to 776 of the family's 1533-position model. The record is from RNAcentral.